AUUGAACGCUGGCGGCAUGCUUUACACAUGCAAGUCGAACGGUAACAGGUCUUUCGGAUGCUGACGAGUGGCGAACGGGUGAGUAAUGUAUCGGAACGUGCCCAGUAGUGGGGGAUAACUACUCGAAAGAGUGGCUAAUACCGCAUGAGAUCUCUGGAUGAAAGCGGGGGACCGUAAGGCCUCGCGCUACUGGAGCGGCCGAUAUCAGAUUAGGUUGUUGGUGAGGUAAAGGCUCACCAAGCCGACGAUCUGUAGCUGGUCUGAGAGGACGACCAGCCACACUGGGACUGAGACACGGCCCAGACUCCUACGGGAGGCAGCAGUGGGGAAUUUUUGGACAAUGGGCGGCAAGACCUGAUCCAGCCAUGCCGCGUGAGUGAAGAAGGCCUCGUGUAGUAGU
Molecule: ribosomal RNA, 400 nt
Filed under: uncultured bacterium
Lineage: Bacteria
Description: bacterial SSU rRNA
Rfam family: Bacterial small subunit ribosomal RNA
Source: RNAcentral